UGUGAUUAUGGAGGAAAGUUGACCUCAUCAGAGGCACGCCAUUCGACUGAGUGACCUAUCAGCUUGUACUUAGGGUCUUUACCUAGGUAGGCUAUCACGGGUAACGGGCGGUUACCGUCGGACUGCCGGAGAAGGCGCCUGAGAGAUAGCGACUAUAUCCACGGGUAGCAGCAGGCGCGAAACUUUCCCACUCGAGACUUUCGGAGGAGGUAAUGACCAGUUCCAUUGGUGCCUUUUGGUACUGUGGAUAGGGGUACGGUUUUCCACCGUACCGAAACCUAGCAGAGGGCCAGUCUGGUGCCAGCAGCUGCGGUAAUUCCAGCUCUGCGAGUUUGCUCCCAUAUUGUUGCAGUUAAAACGCCCGUAGUCUGAAUUGGCCAGCAAUGGUCGUACGUAUUUUUACGUUCACUGUGAACAAAUCAGGACGCUUAGAGUAUGGCCACAUGAAUGACUCAGCGCAGUAUGAAGUCUUUGUUUUCUUCCGAAAACAAGCUCAAUGAGAGCCAUCGGGGGUAGAUCUAUCUCAUGACGAGUGGUGGAAUACUUUGACUCAUGAGAGAGAAGCUGAGGCGAAGGCGUCUACCUAGAGGGUUUCUGUCGAUCAAGGGCGAGAGUAGGAGUAUCCAACAGGAUUAGAGACCCUGGUAGUUCCUACCUUAAACGAUGCCGACAGGAGUUUGUCAUUUGUUAAUGGCAGAAUCUUUGGAGAAAUCAUAGUUCUUGGGCUCUGGGGGAACUACGACCGCAAGGCUGAAACUUGAAGGAAUUGACGGAAGGGCACACCAGGGGUGGAGCCUGUGGCUUAAUUUGAAUCAACACGGGGAAACUUACCAGGACCAGAUGUUUUUUAUGACUGACAGGCUUCGGGUCUUUCAGGAUAUUGUUUUUGGUGGUGCAUGGCCGUUGGUGGUGCGUGGGUUGACCUGUCUAGCGUUGAUUCAGCUAACGAGCGAGAUUAUCGCCAAUUAUUUAC
RNAcentral lists this non-coding RNA (973 nucleotides) under Trichomonas vaginalis G3. RNAcentral's name for it is "Eukaryotic small subunit ribosomal RNA". It matches the Rfam family "Eukaryotic small subunit ribosomal RNA", at positions 245 to 1358 of the family's 1831-position model. The record is from Rfam by way of RNAcentral. Lineage: Eukaryota; Parabasalia; Trichomonadida; Trichomonadidae.